UACCCGCUGAACUUAAGCAUAUCAAUAAGCGGAGGAAAAGAAACUAACAAGGAUUCCCCUAGUAACGGCGAGUGAAGAGGGAAAAGCCCAAAUUUGUAAUCUGGCUCUUUUAUAGGAGUCCGAGUUGUAAUUUUGAGAACUGUUUUCUGUGCUGGACCAUAUACAAGUCUGUUGGAAAACAGCAUCAUUGAGGGUGAUAAUCCCGUAGAUGAUAUGGACUACCAGUGCAAUAUGAUACAGUCUCUAAGAGUCGAGUUGUUUGGGAAUGCAGCUCAAAGUGGGUGGUAAAUUCCAUCUAAGGCUAAAUAUAGGUGAGAGACCGAUAGCAAACAAGUACCGUGAGGGAAAGAUGAAAAGAACUUUGGAAAGAGAGUUAACAGUACGUGAAAUUGUUAAAAGGGAAACAUUUGAAGUUAGACUUGUUAUUAUUGGUUCAGCUCCUCUUUUUUAAUUAGGAGUUUAUUCCAAUGGUUGACAGACCAGCAUCAAUUUUUGAGUGUUAGAUAAGGGUCUUGGAGAAUGUGGCAACUUUGGUUGUGUUAUAGCUCCUGGCUUGAUAUAAUGCUUAAGAUUGAGGAACGCAGUGAGCUUUAUUUUUUGAAGUGGAUUCUUUUGAAUCUUCAUCACUACGGAUGUUGGUGUAAUAGCUUUAAAUG
This 656-nucleotide ribosomal RNA is filed under the name Coleosporium asterum. Its description in RNAcentral is "eukaryotic LSU rRNA". It matches the Rfam family "Eukaryotic large subunit ribosomal RNA", at positions 22 to 646 of the family's 3401-position model. RNAcentral also lists the same sequence under 1 other name. Lineage: Eukaryota; Fungi; Basidiomycota; Pucciniomycetes; Pucciniales; Coleosporiaceae. The record is from RNAcentral.